Molecule: long non-coding RNA, 463 nt
Filed under: Dendronephthya gigantea
Lineage: Eukaryota; Metazoa; Cnidaria; Anthozoa; Malacalcyonacea; Nephtheidae
Description: uncharacterized LOC114525631, transcript variant X5
Source: RNAcentral
AUUUAAUAUGGUGGACUGGUGGUCAGUCAAGAAAUGUUUUUGCUUGCAAAAAGAUCGUAAAAUGUUGGCGCUACAAACUCGGAAAAGAUUGUAAAUGAGAUCAGGAUAACAAGAAGGAAGUAUCCAAACAAAUUCAAAGAUGACUAAUUUUAACAUGGUUCAUAAGAAAGUCCUUCCUUGAAAACCUACCUCAGUCACUGGUGGCGAUCGAAGGUGGACAGCAAGAUCGAAGCUCAGCAAGAUUGAAGAUUGUUCGAGGAAGAAGGAGUUCGCCGUUGACUAAAAGGUUUAUCUGAACAGCUAGUUGUCAAGAUGAAUGUGAAGACUCGCCCGGCCAAAUUCAAAAUGGCGAUGCCAAAGAAAACCAUCCACGUGGAGCGUUCGCGGACCUUUCUGAGCAAGAUUGUUGUGCUGUCUGGUCAAAGUUAGCCAGUUAUCAAGACGUACGUCAAGAGAACAGUUG